RNAcentral lists this ribosomal RNA (253 nucleotides) under uncultured bacterium. Its description in RNAcentral is "partial 16S ribosomal RNA". It matches the Rfam family "Bacterial small subunit ribosomal RNA", at positions 524 to 776 of the family's 1533-position model. The record is from RNAcentral.
UACGUAGGGAGCGAGCGUUGUUCGGAGUUACUGGGCGUAAAGCGCGCGUAGGCGGUUUUGCAAGUCGAGUGUGAAAUCCCCAGGCUCAACCUGGGAACUGCAUUCGAGACUGCAUAGCUAGAGUAUGGGAGAGGGGAGUGGAAUUUCAGGUGUAGCGGUGAAAUGCGUAGAUAUCUGAGGGAACAUCAGUGGCGAAAGCGACUCCCUGGACCAAUACUGACGCUCAUGUGCGAAAGCGUGGGGAGCAAACAGG